This 71-nucleotide transfer RNA is filed under the name Loxodonta africana (African savanna elephant). It matches the Rfam family "tRNA". Rfam says of the family: Transfer RNA (tRNA) molecules are approximately 80 nucleotides in length. Their secondary structure includes four short double-helical elements and three loops (D, anti-codon, and T loops). The record is from Rfam by way of RNAcentral. Lineage: Eukaryota; Metazoa; Chordata; Mammalia; Proboscidea; Elephantidae.
GCAGCGGUAGUUCAGUGGUAGAAUUCUCGCCUUGCACAUGGGAGAUCCAGAAUCGAUUCCUGGCCGAUGGA